This 134-nucleotide ribosomal RNA is filed under the name uncultured eukaryote. Its description in RNAcentral is "partial 18S ribosomal RNA". It matches the Rfam family "Eukaryotic small subunit ribosomal RNA", at positions 1299 to 1458 of the family's 1831-position model. The record is from RNAcentral.
UCGUGGGUUGACCUGUCUGCUUGAUUGCGAUAACAAACGAGACCUCCACCUACUAAAUACAGUGGUUUCAUCAGAUUCUUGCUGUUCUUAGAGGGACUAUCGGUGCAAGCCGAAGGAAGCUGGAGGCAAUAACA